UUUUUAUGGCUGUCGUCAGCUCGUUUCGUGAGAUGUGGGGUUAAGUCCCGCAACGAGCGCAACCCCUACAAUUAGUUACUAACAGGUUAAGCUGAGGACUCUAAUUGAACUGCCUACGCAAGUAGAGAGGAAGGAGGGGAUGACGUCAAGUCCUCAUGGCCCUUACGCCUAGGGCCACACACGUGAUACAAUGGCGACUACAGAGGGCAAAGCCGCGAGGCAGAGGAAAUCCCUUAAAAGUCGUCUCAGUCCGGAUCGGAGUCUGCAACUCGACUCCGUGAAUUUGGAAUCGCUGGGAAUCGCGGAUCAGCA
This 312-nucleotide ribosomal RNA is filed under the name uncultured vent bacterium. Its description in RNAcentral is "bacterial SSU rRNA". It matches the Rfam family "Bacterial small subunit ribosomal RNA", at positions 1040 to 1354 of the family's 1533-position model. The record is from RNAcentral.